This 22-nucleotide non-coding RNA is filed under the name Arabidopsis thaliana (thale cress). The record is from RNAcentral. Lineage: Eukaryota; Viridiplantae; Streptophyta; Magnoliopsida; Brassicales; Brassicaceae.
UUAGAUCGGUAGUCUGAUUCAC